AACGAACGCUGGCGGCAGGCCUAACACAUGCAAGUCGAGCGGACCCUUCGGGGUUAGCGGCGGACGGGUGAGUAACGCGUGGGAAUAUGCCCUUCUCUACGGAAUAGUCCUGGGAAACUGGGGGUAAUACCGUAUACGCCCUUUGGGGGAAAGAUUUAUCGGGGAAGGAUUAGCCCGCGUUGGAUUAGGUAGUUGGUGGGGUAAUGGCCUACCAAGCCGACGAUCCAUAGCUGGUUUGAGAGGAUGAUCAGCCACACUGGGACUGAGACACGGCCCAGACCCCUACGGGAGGCAGCAGGGGGGAAUCUUAGACAAUGGGGGCAACCCUGAUCUAGCCAUGCCGGGGGAGUGAUGAAGGCCUUAGGGUUGUAAAGCUCUUUCAGCGGGGAAGAUAAUGACGGUACCAGAAGAAGAAGCCCCGGCUAACUCCGU
Molecule: ribosomal RNA, 432 nt
Filed under: uncultured bacterium
Lineage: Bacteria
Description: partial 16S ribosomal RNA
Rfam family: Bacterial small subunit ribosomal RNA
Source: RNAcentral